UCAGCGGCAGACGGGUGAGUAACGCGUGGGAACGUACCCUUUUGGUUCGGAACAACACAGGGAAACUUGUGCUAGUACCGGAUAAGCCCUUACGGGGAAAGAUUUAUCGCCGAAAGAUCGGCCCGCGUCUGAUUAGCUAGUUGGUGAGGUAACGGCUCACCAAGGCGACGAUCAGUAGCUGGUCUGAGAGGAUGAUCAGCCACAUUGGGACUGAGACACGGCCCAAACUCCUACGGGAGGCAGCAGUGGGGAAUAUUGGACAAUGGGCGCAAGCCUGAUCCAGCCAUGCCGCGUGAGUGAUGAAGGCCCUAGGGUUGUAAAGCUCUUUUGUGCGGGAAGAUAAUGACGGUACCGCAAGAAUAAGCCCCGGCUAACUUCGUGCCAGCAGCCGCGGUAAUACGAAGGGGGCUAGCGUUGCUCGGAAUCACUGGGCGUAAAGGGUGCGUAGGCGGGUCUUUAAGUCAGGGGUGAAAUCCUGGAGCUCAACUCCAGAACUGCCUUUGAUACUGAGGAUCUUGAGUUCGGGAGAGGUGAGUGGAACUGCGAGUGUAGAGGUGAAAUUCGUAGAUAUUCGCAAGAACACCAGUGGCGAAGGCGGCUCACUGGCCCGAUACUGACGCUGAGGCACGAAAGCGUGGGGAGCAAACAGGAUUAGAUACCCUGGUAGUCCACGCCGUGAACGAUGAAUGCCAGCCGUUAGUGGGUUUACUCACUAGUGGCGCAGCUAACGCUUUAAGCAUUCCGCCUGGGGAGUACGGUCGCAAGAUUAAAACUCAAAGGAAUUGACGGGGGCCCGCACAAGCGGUGGAGCAUGUGGUUUAAUUCGACGCAACGCGCAGAACCUUACCAGCCCUUGACAUCCCGGUCGCGGAUUCCAGAGACGGAGUCCUUCAGUUCGGCUGGACCGGAGACAGGUGCUGCAUGGCUGUCGUCAGCUCGUGUCGUGAGGUGUUGGGUUAAGUCCCGCAACGAGCGCAACCCCCGUCCUUAGUUGCUACCAUUUAGUGAAGCACUCUAAGGAGACUGCCGGUGAUAAGCCGCGAGGAAGGUGGGGAUGACUCA
RNAcentral lists this ribosomal RNA (1062 nucleotides) under uncultured bacterium. Its description in RNAcentral is "bacterial SSU rRNA". It matches the Rfam family "Bacterial small subunit ribosomal RNA", at positions 92 to 1187 of the family's 1533-position model. The record is from RNAcentral.